ACUGAAUAGAAAGCGCCUGGACUAUUCCAAAGGACGGAGAAAGACAGGAAUAGUUGACGAGGAAGAGGUUAAUCGAAUCAUUCGGCGGAUGCCUCUCGGUAUGCUUGCAACCGUAAGCACAGACCCAAAACAGGAAGGCAACUUUCUGGACAGAAGUUGUGCUGCAAGCGC
This 171-nucleotide non-coding RNA is filed under the name Sporolactobacillus inulinus. Its description in RNAcentral is "GlcN6P sequence". It matches the Rfam family "glmS glucosamine-6-phosphate activated ribozyme aptamer". From Rfam's summary of the family: This entry contains a glucosamine-6-phosphate activated ribozyme that is found in the mRNA for GlmS. GlmS is an enzyme that uses fructose-6-phosphate and glutamine to generate glucosamine-6-phosphate. Lineage: Bacteria; Bacillati; Bacillota; Bacilli; Caryophanales; Sporolactobacillaceae. The record is from RNAcentral.